UACGUAGGGGGCAAGCGUUAUCCGGAUUUACUGGGUGUAAAGGGAGCGUAGACGGCGAAGCAAGUCUGAAGUGAAAACCCAGGGCUCAACCCUGGGACUGCUUUGGAAACUGUUUUGCUAGAGUGUCGGAGAGGUAAGUGGAAUUCCUAGUGUAGCGGUGAAAUGCGUAGAUAUUAGGAGGAACAUCAGUGGCGAAGGCGGCUUACUGGACGAUAACUGACGUUGAGGCUCGAAAGCGUGGGGAGCAAACAGG
RNAcentral lists this ribosomal RNA (253 nucleotides) under Enterocloster bolteae. RNAcentral describes it as "partial 16S ribosomal RNA". It matches the Rfam family "Bacterial small subunit ribosomal RNA", at positions 524 to 776 of the family's 1533-position model. The record is from RNAcentral. Lineage: Bacteria; Bacillati; Bacillota; Clostridia; Lachnospirales; Lachnospiraceae.